RNAcentral lists this ribosomal RNA (464 nucleotides) under uncultured bacterium. RNAcentral describes it as "partial 16S ribosomal RNA". It matches the Rfam family "Bacterial small subunit ribosomal RNA", at positions 339 to 795 of the family's 1533-position model. The record is from RNAcentral.
CUACGGGUGGCAGCAGUGGGGAAUAUUGCACAAUGGGCGCAAGCCUGAUGCAGCCAUGCCGCGUGUAUGAAGAAGGCCUUCGGGUUGUAAAGUACUUUCAGCGGGGAGGAAGGGAGUAAAGUUAAUACCUUUGCUCAUUGACGUUACCCGCAGAAGAAGCACCGGCUAACUCCGUGCCAGCAGCCGCGGUAAUACGGAGGGUGCAAGCGUUAAUCGGAAUUACUGGGCGUAAAGCGCACGCAGGCGGUUUGUUAAGUCAGAUGUGAAAUCCCCGGGCUCAACCUGGGAACUGCAUCGGAUACUGGCAAGCUUGAGUCUAGUAGAGGGGGGUAGAAUUCCAGGUGUAGCGGUGAAAUGCGUAGAGAUCUGGAGGAAUACCGGUGGCGAAGGCGGCCCCCUGGACGAAGACUGACGCUCAGGUGCGAAAGCGUGGGGAGCAAACAGGAUUAGAUACCCUAGUAGUC